ACUACUAUCACAAGACUUUUCUUCCCCUAAUCUCCAGGAUAAAAACCUUGGCAGGUUUUCUCGCACUUGCACUCAAGCAGACAACCCCAAUUAACGAUGCCUCUGGCCAGUGGCUCGAAUGUAUUUCAAAACAAAAACCUGCUGGGCCCUCUGCCUAACGAGGAAGUGGCCCAAGGUCUCAGGACCCAACUGAGAAGGAAGCCUGGUCCUGGGACUACGAGAUGCAAGGGAGAUACGCUGGCACUGUGAGGAGCUCUGACGUCCGCUGCUGAGGAAGCGGUUCAGCAAGUCUGCGACCACCGACUCCAGCACCAUGGCGGGGACCAGGAGACGGGAGAGGGAGGAGCCGGAACGCAGCGCACUCUGGAGGGCGGCGGCCGAUGCCGUGACUGACAGCUGCGGCCCGCCUCGCCCCGCGUCGCGCGUGCGCGACGCCGCCAACGCGCAGGCGUCCUUCCCCCACCCGCUCCGCUCGCUUCGAGAUUACAGGGGGCCGACGGGAGAGAGAGUGAGGCCUGGAGCAAAGAGGUGUGACAGGAAGCUGUGCGUUCGAGUCCCCAGAAUCGCAUUAUCUACUCGUAAUAGUGCACGCCUCUUAAUCCCAGCAUUGGGGAAACGGAGGUAGGAGGGUUAAAAGUUCAAGGUCAUCCUUGACUACGUAUCCUGUUCAAGGCCAGACUAGGCUAUAUGAGCCCCUAUGUUAGAAUUUUUUUUUUAAGUAAUGAAAUAAACUGGUGAGAUGGCCCAGCGGAUAAAGGUGCUCGCUGCUAAGCCUGAUGUUCAAAUCCUGAGACUCAAUGAUGAAAGGAGAGGACAGCUUCAAGUUGUUCAGACCUCUGCAUUCCAUUAUGCCUUGCAUUCACACAAACAUACAGAGAGAAAUCCAAGGCUACAUAGUGAGACCCUGUCUCUAAAUUAGUAAAUGUAAUUUAAAAAUCAAAGCUGGGCCGGGGGACAAACAUCUUUAGUCCCAGCACUAACAGGCAAGUGGAUUUCUGUGAGUUCAAGGUCAGCCUGGUCUACAUAAUGAAUUCCAGACCAGUCAGAGCUACACAAUGAGACACUGUCUCGAAUAACUAAGUAAUAGGGAAAAUACAAA
Mesocricetus auratus (golden hamster) is the source of this 1099-nucleotide long non-coding RNA. RefSeq lists it as uncharacterized. The record is from RefSeq and is a predicted model, not a curated record. Lineage: Eukaryota; Metazoa; Chordata; Mammalia; Rodentia; Cricetidae. The transcript has 3 exons.